GACGAACCGUCCAAACGUUAUUCGGUAUCACUGGGCUUAAAGCGUGCGUAGGCGGCUUGGUAGGUGUGAUGUGAAAGCCCACGGCUCAACCGUGGAAUUGCGUCGCAAACCCCCAAGCUUGAGGAAGACAGGGGUGUUGGGAACUUAUGGUGGAGCGGUGAAAUGCGUUGAUAUCAUAGGGAACACCGGUGGCGAAGGCGCAACACUGGGUCUUUUCUGACGCUGAGGCACGAAAGCUAGGGUAGCGAAC
Molecule: ribosomal RNA, 250 nt
Filed under: uncultured bacterium
Lineage: Bacteria
Description: partial 16S ribosomal RNA
Rfam family: Bacterial small subunit ribosomal RNA
Source: RNAcentral